RNAcentral lists this ribosomal RNA (499 nucleotides) under uncultured Oscillospiraceae bacterium. RNAcentral's name for it is "partial 16S ribosomal RNA". The record is from RNAcentral. Lineage: Bacteria; Bacillati; Bacillota; Clostridia; Eubacteriales; Oscillospiraceae.
CACGUAGUUAGCCGUGGCUUAUUCAUCAGGUACCGUCACUUGCUUCGUCCCUGAUAAAAGAAGUUUACAACCCGAAAGCCUUCUUCCUUCACGCGGCGUUGCUGGGUCAGGCUUGCGCCCAUUGCCCAAUAUUCCCCACUGCUGCCUCCCGUAGGAGUCUGGGCCGUGUCUCAGUCCCAAUGUGGCCGGUCAACCUCUCAGUCCGGCUACUGAUCGUCGCCUUGGUGGGCCGUUACCCCGCCAACCAGCUAAUCAGACGCGAGUCCAUCUCAGAGCGAUAAAUCUUUGGCAGCCAGAGCCAUGCGGCCCAACUGCAUUAUGCGGUAUUAGCACAUCUUUCGAUGUGUUAUUCCCCACUCCAAGGCAGGUUACUCACGCGUUACUCACCCGUCCGCCACUAGGUAACCUUCUCAAUUGGACGAAUCCUCUUUCAAAGGCACCCCGUUCGACUUGCAUGUGUUAAGCACGCCGCCAGCGUUCAUCCUGAGCCAGGAUCAAA